GUGGAGGGUUCGAUUCUGGCUCAGGAUGAACGCUGGCGGCGUGCUUAACACAUGCAAGUCGAACGGGAUCCAUCAGGCUUUGCUUGGUGGUGAGAGUGGCGAACGGGUGAGUAAUGCGUGACCGACCUGCCCCAUACACCGGAAUAGCUCCUGGAAACGGGUGGUAAUGCCGGAUGCUCCGACUCCUCGCAUGGGGUGUCGGGAAAGAUUUCAUCGGUAUGGGAUGGGGUCGCGUCCUAUCAGGUAGUCGGCGGGGUAACGGCCCACCGAGCCUACGACGGGUAGCCGGCCUGAGAGGGCGACCGGCCACAUUGGGACUGAGAUACGGCCCAGACUCCUACGGGAGGCAGCAGUGGGGAAUAUUGCACAAUGGGCGCAAGCCUGAUGCAGCGACGCCGCGUGCGGGAUGACGGCCUUCGGGUUGUAAACCGCUUUUGAUCGGGAGCAAGCCUUCGGGUGAGUGUACCUUUCGAAUAAGCACCGGCUAACUACGUGCCAGCAGCCGCGGUAAUACGUAGGGUGCAAGCGUUAUCCGGAAUUAUUGGGCGUAAAGGGCUCGUAGGCGGUUCGUCGCGUCCGGUGUGAAAGUCCAUCGCUUAACGGUGGAUCUGCGCCGGGUACGGGCGGGCUGGAGUGCGGUAGGGGAGACUGGAAUUCCCGGUGUAACGGUGGAAUGUGUAGAUAUCGGGAAGAACACCAAUGGCGAAGGCAGGUCUCUGGGCCGUUACUGACGCUGAGGAGCGAAAGCGUGGGGAGCGAACAGGAUUAGAUACCCUGGUAGUCCACGCCGUAAACGGUGGAUGCUGGAUGUGGGGCCCGUUCCACGGGUUCCGUGUCGGAGCUAACGCGUUAAGCAUCCCGCCUGGGGAGUACGGCCGCAAGGCUAAAACUCAAAGAAAUUGACGGGGGCCCGCACAAGCGGCGGAGCAUGCGGAUUAAUUCGAUGCAACGCGAAGAACCUUACCUGGGCUUGACAUGUUCCCGACAGCCGUAGAGAUAUGGCCUCCCUUCGGGGCGGGUUCACAGGUGGUGCAUGGUCGUCGUCAGCUCGUGUCGUGAGAUGUUGGGUUAAGUCCCGCAACGAGCGCAACCCUCGCCCUGUGUUGCCAGCACGUCAUGGUGGGAACUCACGGGGGACCGCCGGGGUCAACUCGGAGGAAGGUGGGGAUGACGUCAGAUCAUCAUGCCCCUUACGUCCAGGGCUUCACGCAUGCUACAAUGGCCGGUACAACGGGAUGCGACACGGCGACGUGGAGCGGAUCCCUGAAAACCGGUCUCAGUUCGGAUUGGAGUCUGCAACCCGACUCCAUGAAGGCGGAGUCGCUAGUAAUCGCGGAUCAGCAACGCCGCGGUGAAUGCGUUCCCGGGCCUUGUACACACCGCCCGUCAAGUCAUGAAAGUGGGUAGCACCCGAAGCCGGUGGCCUAACCCUUUGUGGAUGGAGCCGUCUAAGGUGAGACUCGUGAUUGGGACUAAGUCGUAACAAGGUAGCCGUACCGGAAGGUGCGGCUGGAUCACCUCCUU
This 1524-nucleotide ribosomal RNA is filed under the name Bifidobacterium pseudocatenulatum. RNAcentral's name for it is "Bacterial small subunit ribosomal RNA". It matches the Rfam family "Bacterial small subunit ribosomal RNA". The record is from RNAcentral. Lineage: Bacteria; Bacillati; Actinomycetota; Actinomycetes; Bifidobacteriales; Bifidobacteriaceae.